Molecule: long non-coding RNA, 246 nt
Filed under: Struthio camelus australis
Lineage: Eukaryota; Metazoa; Chordata; Aves; Struthioniformes; Struthionidae
Description: lncRNA (ENSSCUG00000017023.1)
Source: RNAcentral
UUUUCUAGUACCUGAUGUCCUCGGUACCUGCUCCAUCUGACAAGACAUUUUUGCUGUGAAAACUUAUGGAAGCCCAUCAUGGCUUUCCCAUCCCUUUUCUCCUUGAUGCCACGUGGACACUAGAGACUGGCACAUUAUCAAAAGGUGAUGCUGUUCUGCAAGGAAACAGUAUUGAGUGAAGUUACCUCUAAAUUAAGAGGAGAUGUUCUUGGACAGGUAGUAACAAAGGAAAAAGACAAAGGCAGG